This 429-nucleotide ribosomal RNA is filed under the name bacterium. RNAcentral's name for it is "partial 16S ribosomal RNA". It matches the Rfam family "Bacterial small subunit ribosomal RNA", at positions 355 to 776 of the family's 1533-position model. The record is from RNAcentral.
UAGGGAAUCUUCGGCAAUGGGGGCAACCCUGACCGAGCAACGCCGCGUGAGUGAAGAAGGUUUUCGGAUCGUAAAGCUCUGUUGUAAGAGAAGAACGUGUGUGAGAGUGGAAAGUUCACACAGUGACGGUAACUUACCAGAAAGGGACGGCUAACUACGUGCCAGCAGCCGCGGUAAUACGUAGGUCCCGAGCGUUGUCCGGAUUUAUUGGGCGUAAAGCGAGCGCAGGCGGUUUAAUAAGUCGGAAGUUAAAGGCAGUGGCUUAACCAUUGUUCGCUUUGGAAACUGUUAAACUUGAGUGCAGAAGGGGAGAGUGGAAUUCCAUGUGUAGCGGUGAAAUGCGUAGAUAUAUGUAGGAACACCGGUGGCGAAAGCGGCUCUCUGGUCUGUAACUGACGCUGAGGCUCGAAAGCGUGGGGAGCGAGCAGG